This 497-nucleotide ribosomal RNA is filed under the name uncultured bacterium. Its description in RNAcentral is "partial 16S ribosomal RNA". It matches the Rfam family "Bacterial small subunit ribosomal RNA", at positions 28 to 507 of the family's 1533-position model. The record is from RNAcentral.
GAUGAACGCUGGCGGCGUGCCUAAUACAUGCAAGUCGAGCGAACAGACGAGGAGCUUGCUCCUCUGACGUUAGCGGCGGACGGGUGAGUAACACGUGGAUAACCUACCUAUAAGACUGGGAUAACUUCGGGAAACCGGAGCUAAUACCGGAUAAUAUAUUGAACCGCAUGGUUCAAUAGUGAAAGACGGUUUUGCUGUCACUUAUAGAUGGAUCCGCGCCGCAUUAGCUAGUUGGUAAGGUAACGGCUUACCAAGGCGACGAUGCGUAGCCGUCCUGAGAGGGUGAUCGGCAACACUGGAACUGAGACACGGUCCAGACUCCUACGGGAGGCAGCAGUAGGGAAUCUUCCGCAAUGGGCGAAAGCCUGACGGAGCAACGCCGCGUGAGUGAUGAAGGUCUUCGGAUCGUAAAACUCUGUUAUUAGGGAAGAACAAAUGUGUAAGUAACUAUGCACGUCUUGACGGUACCUAAUCAGAAAGCCACGGCUAACUACGUG